RNAcentral lists this ribosomal RNA (775 nucleotides) under uncultured Neocallimastigales. Its description in RNAcentral is "partial large subunit ribosomal RNA". It matches the Rfam family "Eukaryotic large subunit ribosomal RNA", at positions 23 to 639 of the family's 3401-position model. The record is from RNAcentral. Lineage: Eukaryota; Fungi; Neocallimastigomycota; Neocallimastigomycetes; Neocallimastigales.
GAGAGAGACAUGCGCGCAUAUCAAUAAGCGGAGGAAAAGAAACUAACUAGGAUUCCCUCAGUAACGGCGAGUGAAGCGGGAAGAGCUCAAAUUUGAAAUCUUCAAGGGUUCUACCUUUACGAAUUGUAGUUUAAAGAAGUGUUUUCUGUUGAGGUUUUGGUAAAAGUUCUUUGGAAUAGGACAUUAUAGAGGGUGAGAAUCCCGUAUUUGACCAUUACUUUCCAACUUUGUGAUACACUUUCAAAGAGUCGGAUUGUUUGGGAAUGCAGUCCAAAAUGGGUGGUAAAUUUCAUCUAAAGCUAAAUACUGGCGAGAGACCGAUAGCGAACAAGUACCGUGAGGGAAAGAUGAAAAGAACUUUGAAAAGAGAGUUAAACAGUACGUGAAAUUGUCAAAAGGGAAGCGUUUGACACCAGUGUUGUUUUCUCGAAAAUCAAUUAAAAAAGGCAGGAUUUUGUGUUGUAUUGACUUUAUCAGCUUUCUGCACUCUUUUCUUGUCUUUUUUAAUGCACUUUUCGUUUAACAAGUCAACAUCAAUUUCUUUUGUUGUAAAAGGGUCAUUGGAAGGUGGCUUUCUUUUCGGAGAAAGUGUUUAUAGCCUUUGGCCUCUGCAAUCGGAGAGAUUGAGGUCUGCAGCGUAGAUCCUUCGGGGUUAGAUACAUUUGUGCUAAGUUAUAGCCUUUCAUAGACAACUUGUUGACUAUGAUCAGUCAUGUAGCUUACUCGCUUAUGCUAUUUUACCUACGCUUAGGAUGUUGAUGUGAUACUGCGAGCA